RNAcentral lists this ribosomal RNA (549 nucleotides) under uncultured Glomeromycotina. RNAcentral describes it as "SSU rRNA". It matches the Rfam family "Eukaryotic small subunit ribosomal RNA", at positions 548 to 1098 of the family's 1831-position model. Lineage: Eukaryota; Fungi; Glomeromycota. The record is from RNAcentral.
UUGGAGGGCAAGUCUGGUGCCAGCAGCCGCGGUAAUUCCAGCUCCAAUAGCGUAUAUUAAAGCUGUUGCAGUUAAAAAGCUCGUAGUUGAAUUUCGGGGUCAGUAGGUCGGUCGUGCCACUGGUAUGAACUGGUUUUACUGAUUCCUCCCUCUUGAAGAACUGUAAUGCCAUUAAAUUGGUGUUGCAGGGAAUCAGGACUGUUACUUUGAAAAAAUUAGAGUGUUUAAAGCAGGCUUUAGCUUGAAUACAUUAGCAUGGAAUAAUGAAAUAGGACGUUUGAUCCUAUUUUGUUGGUUUCUAGGAUUGACGUAAUGAUUAAUAGGGAUAGUUGGGGGCAUUAGUAUUCAAUUGUCAGAGGUGAAAUUCUUGGAUUUAUUGAAGACUAACUACUGCGAAAGCAUUUGCCAAGGAUGUUUUCAUUAAUCAAGAACGAAAGUUAGGGGAUCGAAGACGAUCAGAUACCGUCGUAGUCUUAACCAUAAACUAUGCCGACUAGGGAUCGGAUGAUGUUAAUUUUUUAAUGACUCAUUCGGCGCCUUACGGGAAAC